CAAGUUAGGGAUGACCAAGGCCUACCAUAAACGUCUUCAAAUGGAGCUAUGCUAAUAUUGGAGUUGUAACUGUUGUUAUAAGUAAAUUCACAAAGGGGAGAUGCAUAUUCCAGUGGCCCAAAGUCUAGUACAUAGGCGUGCAACAUAUCCUCCAGCAUCUAGAUAAUGCGCUAAGAUUGCCCAUCAAGUUUUGGGUGAUAAACAUUACUAAAGUAGAGGUAGAGCCAAGGGCUUCUUGGAAGCUAUCCCAGAAGUGAGAGGUGAAAUGAGGGUCCCUAUCUGACACCACGAAAAUGGGAACACCAUGAGUCAGACAAUCUCCUCAAUGUGUAACCGAGCCAACUUAGUGGUUGAGUCAGUAGUCUUAAU
This 369-nucleotide long non-coding RNA is filed under the name Carica papaya (papaya). RNAcentral's name for it is "long non-coding RNA (CPAP_LNC010147)". Lineage: Eukaryota; Viridiplantae; Streptophyta; Magnoliopsida; Brassicales; Caricaceae. The record is from RNAcentral.